AGAGGACACUAAAAGAGCAGGACCUAGCAGACCUGACGUGGUAGCUGCUGUACUGCCAGGCAGCUACCACAGGGCCCCUGCUAACAGGCUCAGGAGGCAACUCCUCUCCUUGAUCUUUGCUCCUCGGCUGGCUAUCGCUGAGCUCUUGCAUCUUUUGUCUACCCUUGCCUUUUGCUUACGAAAGACAGCUUCUGCUUGAUUUGCCUGGUCCUGCACCCUCUGCUCAGCCUCCAGCUGUGCUUUGACUUCUCGCUGUGGCUCGGUGCAGCCAGUGUCCUUGCAUCUCCCUGCCCUGCAGGCUGCUUUCUGCCCCCGCUUCUUGCCCUGAUAUUCCCUGGACCUUAUAUUGGAGUGACUUUACCACUGAACCUGCCUUGUGUUUCUACUACUGGAUUCAGUCUGGCCCUAAUUCAGAAGAACUGAUGACAGGUUUAUAUUGAAGGCCUCAAUCAAGUGGGUGGCCAGAGCCGUGUGAAGAGAGGAAGCAGCCUGGCUGAGGCAGGAGCUUACCCCACGUUUCCUGUGCCCUUGGAUAGUCCAGAACGACGUGUUCAUACUCUGCAGUAUAUGCUGGAAGGAGACGAAGACAGAAAGACCUUCAGGAUAAUGUGCCUCCCCCACCCGCCUUCAGCACCUUUGUUUGUGGAAAUCAGUGGCUCCCCCAGACAUCUGGCAAGUAUUGUGGCUGUAUCUGAGAGGUGCUGGAGAAGGAGUCUGGCAUCGAUGUUAAAUGCAGUACAAGAAAACAGAGAGAAGUGAAGUCGCUGCCUUAAGGAGGGAGACGUCCGUUUGCAGCACUGCAAGAUGGCACAGAGAGUGCAUAGGCACAGCUUUUAUUGCAGGCUAAGAUUGAAUUAAGGUCUCCUCAGCACUGUUUUGAGCUACCUCCUAGUUCUCUGUAGGUCAUUCAGACCCUCCAGUCCCCUCUGUUGGCAUUCUUCAUCCACACGUGGAUGCCGGCUCCUGCUGCCGUUCUUCUCCAGCUCCGUUUGGGAUCCAAGGAGAUAAAACACUAGCAAACCUGCACGGUACUAAUAAAAGGCUUUGGGGAUGUCUGGUAAGACA
This 1065-nucleotide long non-coding RNA is filed under the name Struthio camelus australis. RNAcentral describes it as "lncRNA (ENSSCUG00000010039.1)". Lineage: Eukaryota; Metazoa; Chordata; Aves; Struthioniformes; Struthionidae. The record is from RNAcentral.